RNAcentral lists this ribosomal RNA (781 nucleotides) under uncultured Neocallimastigales. RNAcentral describes it as "partial large subunit ribosomal RNA". It matches the Rfam family "Eukaryotic large subunit ribosomal RNA", at positions 22 to 644 of the family's 3401-position model. The record is from RNAcentral. Lineage: Eukaryota; Fungi; Neocallimastigomycota; Neocallimastigomycetes; Neocallimastigales.
GUACACGCUGUGACUAGCAUAUCAAUAAGCGGAGGAAAAGAAACUAACAAGGAUUCCCCUAGUAACGGCGAGUGAAGCGGGAAGAGCUCAAAUUUGAAAUCUUAAAGGGUUUCCCUUUACGAAUUGUAGUUUAAAGAAGUGUUUUCUGUUAGAGUUUGAGUAGCAAAAGUUCCUUGGAAUAGGACAUCAUAGAGGGUGAGAAUCCCGUAUUUGGUACCUUUACUUUCAGCUUUGUGAUACACUUUCAAAGAGUCGGAUUGUUUGGGAAUGCAGUCCAAAAUGGGUGGUAAAUUUCAUCUAAAGCUAAAUAUUGGCGAGAGGACCGAUAGCGAACAAGUACCGUGAGGGAAAGAUGAAAAGAACUUUGAAAAGAGAGUUAAACAGUACGUGAAAUUGUCAAAAGGGAAGCGUUUGACACCAGUGUUGUUUUUCUGAAAAUCAAUUAAAGAACUGUUUAUGCUAAGUUGUUUAGACUUUAUCAGCUAUCUGUUUAGUUUUGAGCUUUUCUUUAAUGCACUUUUCAGUUAACAAGUCAACAUCAAUUUCUUUUGCUGUAAAAAAGCUUGAGGAAGGUGGCUUGAGAUUCGUCUUAAGUGUUUAUAGCCUCUUGCCUAUGCAGUCGGAGAGAUUGAGGUCUGCAGCGUAGAUCCUUCGGGGCUAAAUGCAUUUGUGCUAAGUUAUAGCAUUUUAUAGACAACUUGUUGACUAUGAUUUGUCUUGUAGCUUACUCGCUUCAUGUUAUUUUACCUACGCUUAGGAUGUUGACUGAUAUGUAGUCGUA